AUACUUACCUGGACCCGGGAUUGUGGCGCUCAAGUAUGCCCAACCCUCACUGGAGUGGAACCAUUGCACUUCCGGUUCUAUGAAGGUGGCCUCUUCGGUCAAAAAGAUCGGGGCAGGGGGUCAGAAUUUUUGAUAGUUGGGGGACUGCGUUCGCGCUAUCCCCCU
Small nuclear RNA from Hypsibius dujardini, 165 nucleotides. It matches the Rfam family "U1 spliceosomal RNA". From Rfam's summary of the family: U1 is a small nuclear RNA (snRNA) component of the spliceosome (involved in pre-mRNA splicing). The record is from Rfam. Lineage: Eukaryota; Metazoa; Tardigrada; Eutardigrada; Parachela; Hypsibiidae.